Acanthosepion pharaonis is the source of this 115-nucleotide non-coding RNA. Lineage: Eukaryota; Metazoa; Mollusca; Cephalopoda; Sepiida; Sepiidae. The record is from the annotation of a GenBank genome assembly.
UUACGGUCAAAUCACGCUGAAAACACCGGUUCUCGUUCGAUCACCGAAGUUAAGCAUCGUAGAGCCAGGUCAGUACUUAGAUGGGGGUGCGCUUGGGAACACCUGGUACUGUAAA